RNAcentral lists this long non-coding RNA (774 nucleotides) under Lupinus angustifolius (narrow-leaved blue lupine). Its description in RNAcentral is "long non-coding RNA (LANG_LNC001111)". The record is from RNAcentral. Lineage: Eukaryota; Viridiplantae; Streptophyta; Magnoliopsida; Fabales; Fabaceae.
UGUUUCUUGCACAUUAUUGCAUGCAUACAUGGUCUUAUCACGUGGUGCUUGACAGAUCCACAUUGCGGAAAUAAUUAUGGAAUAUUGAAGAACAAUAAUGCUACUAUAUCAUUUAUUUCUCUUGUUUGACUAUUGUUAUAUAUUAUUUUUGCUAAGUCUUGUACCAUGGGUUUAAUAUGCGGAUUCAAUAUGUGGAUAAGGAUGAUUCUUCAAUGAUAUCAUUACAUACAAGGAGCCAUUUUGUUCUUUGCCAUACCAACAUUCUUUGAGCUUCUAUAUGUUCUUCUCUAUGCAUUUGUGUUUCCCAAGAUGCCAAUAAUCAAAUACUGCCAUUCGAAAACAACAUCAGAAGGACCAAAAACUGUCACAGGUGACGUUGCAGUUGUUGGCAUUCAGACCUUACCUAUAGUAGAAAAAAGAGAAUCAAAACAAUAGCGUAAAGGAAAUAAGCAAUUGAUAUAUGAAAUCAUUGAUUAUGCACUUGAUUUGUUCCUAACAUAUGUACUAACACUCUCUAUUUUCGUGGAUUCCUAUUAGAAGAUAUAGGAUCACACAGUUUAGGGGACCUACACUUCACUAAAAAGUAUGGUGAUCAAAGUUGGAGAUUGCUAUAUCCAUAAACUUGUGUGGCAAAGAAGAAGAUAUUGGGAACAUAACUAGUAAUGGUUCUCCAACUUUUUGAAAUGGACGAUGAGAACCUGACAAAACAUAAACUAAACAUCAAGUAGACUAGAUAUUUUCCUUGCAAAACUGUUAUAAAUCAAGGCGGUAAUG